GAGGGUAUAGCUCAGUGGUAGAGCGCAUGCUUAACAUACAGGAGGUCUUGGGUUCAAUCACCGGUUCCUCCA
RNAcentral lists this transfer RNA (72 nucleotides) under Camelus bactrianus (Bactrian camel). It matches the Rfam family "tRNA". Rfam says of the family: Transfer RNA (tRNA) molecules are approximately 80 nucleotides in length. Their secondary structure includes four short double-helical elements and three loops (D, anti-codon, and T loops). RNAcentral also lists the same sequence under 1 other name. The record is from Rfam by way of RNAcentral. Lineage: Eukaryota; Metazoa; Chordata; Mammalia; Artiodactyla; Camelidae.